Molecule: ribosomal RNA, 500 nt
Filed under: uncultured bacterium
Lineage: Bacteria
Description: partial 16S ribosomal RNA
Rfam family: Bacterial small subunit ribosomal RNA
Source: RNAcentral
AUUGAACGCUGGCGGCAGGCUUAACACAUGCAAGUCGAGCGGCAGCGCGGGGGCAACCCUGGCGGCGAGCGGCGAACGGGUGAGUAACAUAUCGGAACGUACCCAGUAAUGGGGGAUAACUACCCGAAAGGGUAGCUAAUACCGCAUACGCCCUGAGGGGGAAAGCGGGGGAUCGAAAGACCUCGCGUUAUUGGAGCGGCCGAUAUCGGAUUAGCUAGUUGGUGAGGUAAAGGCUCACCAAGGCGACGAUCCGUAGCUGGUCUGAGAGGACGACCAGCCACACUGGAACUGAGACACGGUCCAGACUCCUACGGGAGGCAGCAGUGGGGAAUUUUGGACAAUGGGGGCAACCCUGAUCCAGCCAUUCCGCGUGAGUGAAGAAGGCCUUCGGGUUGUAAAGCUCUUUCGGCAGGAACGAAACGGCGGGCUCUAACAUAGCCUGUCACUGACGGUACCUGUAUAAGAAGCACCGGCUAACUACGUGCCAGCCGCCGCGGUAA